RNAcentral lists this ribosomal RNA (1534 nucleotides) under Bacteroides thetaiotaomicron. Its description in RNAcentral is "bacterial SSU rRNA". It matches the Rfam family "Bacterial small subunit ribosomal RNA". The record is from RNAcentral. Lineage: Bacteria; Pseudomonadati; Bacteroidota; Bacteroidia; Bacteroidales; Bacteroidaceae. RNAcentral also lists the same sequence under 1 other name.
CUUUUACAAUGAAGAGUUUGAUCCUGGCUCAGGAUGAACGCUAGCUACAGGCUUAACACAUGCAAGUCGAGGGGCAGCAUUUCAGUUUGCUUGCAAACUGGAGAUGGCGACCGGCGCACGGGUGAGUAACACGUAUCCAACCUGCCGAUAACUCGGGGAUAGCCUUUCGAAAGAAAGAUUAAUACCCGAUGGCAUAAUUAGACCGCAUGGUCUUAUUAUUAAAGAAUUUCGGUUAUCGAUGGGGAUGCGUUCCAUUAGGCAGUUGGUGAGGUAACGGCUCACCAAACCUUCGAUGGAUAGGGGUUCUGAGAGGAAGGUCCCCCACAUUGGAACUGAGACACGGUCCAAACUCCUACGGGAGGCAGCAGUGAGGAAUAUUGGUCAAUGGGCGCAGGCCUGAACCAGCCAAGUAGCGUGAAGGAUGACUGCCCUAUGGGUUGUAAACUUCUUUUAUAUGGGAAUAAAGUUUUCCACGUGUGGAAUUUUGUAUGUACCAUAUGAAUAAGGAUCGGCUAACUCCGUGCCAGCAGCCGCGGUAAUACGGAGGAUCCGAGCGUUAUCCGGAUUUAUUGGGUUUAAAGGGAGCGUAGGUGGACAGUUAAGUCAGUUGUGAAAGUUUGCGGCUCAACCGUAAAAUUGCAGUUGAUACUGGCUGUCUUGAGUACAGUAGAGGUGGGCGGAAUUCGUGGUGUAGCGGUGAAAUGCUUAGAUAUCACGAAGAACUCCGAUUGCGAAGGCAGCUCACUGGACUGCAACUGACACUGAUGCUCGAAAGUGUGGGUAUCAAACAGGAUUAGAUACCCUGGUAGUCCACACAGUAAACGAUGAAUACUCGCUGUUUGCGAUAUACAGUAAGCGGCCAAGCGAAAGCAUUAAGUAUUCCACCUGGGGAGUACGCCGGCAACGGUGAAACUCAAAGGAAUUGACGGGGGCCCGCACAAGCGGAGGAACAUGUGGUUUAAUUCGAUGAUACGCGAGGAACCUUACCCGGGCUUAAAUUGCAUUUGAAUAAUCUGGAAACAGGUUAGCCGCAAGGCAAAUGUGAAGGUGCUGCAUGGUUGUCGUCAGCUCGUGCCGUGAGGUGUCGGCUUAAGUGCCAUAACGAGCGCAACCCUUAUCUUUAGUUACUAACAGGUCAUGCUGAGGACUCUAGAGAGACUGCCGUCGUAAGAUGUGAGGAAGGUGGGGAUGACGUCAAAUCAGCACGGCCCUUACGUCCGGGGCUACACACGUGUUACAAUGGGGGGUACAGAAGGCAGCUACCUGGUGACAGGAUGCUAAUCCCAAAAGCCUCUCUCAGUUCGGAUCGAAGUCUGCAACCCGACUUCGUGAAGCUGGAUUCGCUAGUAAUCGCGCAUCAGCCAUGGCGCGGUGAAUACGUUCCCGGGCCUUGUACACACCGCCCGUCAAGCCAUGAAAGCCGGGGGUACCUGAAGUACGUAACCGCAAGGAGCGUCCUAGGGUAAAACUGGUAAUUGGGGCUAAGUCGUAACAAGGUAGCCGUACCGGAAGGUGCGGCUGGAACACCUCCUUU